UCAAACCGGGAGAUAGCUGGUUCUCCCCGAAAGCUAUUUAGGUAGCGCCUCGUGAAUUCAUCUCCGGGGGUAGAGCACUGUUUCGGCAAGGGGGUCAUCCCGACUUACCAACCCGAUGCAAACUGCGAAUACCGGAGAAUGUUAUCACGGGAGACACACGGCGGGUGCUAACGUCCGUCGUGAAGAGGGAAACAACCCAGACCGCCAGCUAAGGUCCCAAAGUCAUGGUUAAGUGGGAAACGAUGUGGGAAGGCCCAGACAGCCAGGAUGUUGGCUUAGAAGCAGCCAUCAUUUAAAGAAAGCGUAAUAGCUCACUGGUCGAGUCGGCCUGCGCGGAAGAUGUAACGGGGCUAAACCAUGCACCGAAGCUGCGGCAGCGACGCUUAUGCGUUGUUGGGUAGGGGAGCGUUCUGUAAGCCUGUGAAGGUGUGCUGUGAGGCAUGCUGGAGGUAUCAGAAGUGCGAAUGCUGACAUAAGUAACGAUAAAGCGGGUGAAAAGCCCGCUCGCCGGAAGACCAAGGGUUCCUGUCCAACGUUAAUCGGGGCAGGGUGAGUCGACCCCUAAGGCGAGGCCGAAAGGCGUAGUCGAUGGGAAACAGGUUAAUAUUCCUGUACUUGGUGUUACUGCGAAGGGGGGACGGAGAAGGCUAUGUUGGCCGGGCGACGGUUGUCCCGGUUUAAGCGUGUAGGCUGGUUUUCCAGGCAAAUCCGGAAAAUCAAGGCUGAGGCGUGAUGACGAGGCACUACGGUGCUGAAGCAACAAAUGCCCUGCUUCCAGGAAAAGCCUCUAAGCAUCAGGUAACAUCAAAUCGUACCCCAAACCGACACAGGUGGUCAGGUAGAGAAUACCAAGGCGCUUGAGAGAACUCGGGUGAAGGAACUAGGCAAAAUGGUGCCGUAACUUCGGGAGAAGGCACGCUGAUAUGUAGGUGAAGUCCCUCGCGGAUGGAGCUGAAAUCAGUCGAAGAUACCAGCUGGCUGCAACUGUUUAUUAAAAACACAGCACUGUGCAAACACGAAAGUGGACGUAUACGGUGUGACGCCUGCCCGGUGCCGGAAGGUUAAUUGAUGGGGUCAGCGCAAGCGAAGCUCUUGAUCGAAGCCCCGGUAAACGGCGGCCGUAACUAUAACGGUCCUAAGGUAGCGAAAUUCCUUGUCGGGUAAGUUCCGACCUGCACGAAUGGCGUAAUGAUGGCCAGGCUGUCUCCACCCGAGACUCAGUGAAAUUGAACUCGCUGUGAAGAUGCAGUGUACCCGCGGCAAGACGGAAAGACCCCGUGAACCUUUACUAUAGCUUGACACUGAACAUUGAGCCUUGAUGUGUAGGAUAGGUGGGAGGCUUAGAAGUGUGGACGCCAGUCUGCAUGGAGCCGACCUUGAAAUACCACCCUUUAAUGUUUGAUGUUCUAACGUUGACCCGUAAUCCGGGUUGCGGACAGUGUCUGGUGGGUAGUUUGACUGGGGCGGUCUCCUCCUAAAGAGUAACGGAGGAGCACGAAGGUUGGCUAAUCCUGGUCGGACAUCAGGAGGUUAGUGCAAUGGCAUAAGCCAGCUUGACUGCGAGCGUGACGGCGCGAGCAGGUGCGAAAGCAGGUCAUAGUGAUCCGGUGGUUCUGAAUGGAAGGGCCAUCGCUCAACGGAUAAAAGGUACUCCGGGGAUAACAGGCUGAUACCGCCCAAGAGUUCAUAUCGACGGCGGUGUUUGGCACCUCGAUGUCGGCUCAUCACAUCCUGGGGCUGAAGUAGGUCCCAAGGGUAUGGCUGUUCGCCAUUUAAAGUGGUACGCGAGCUGGGUUUAGAACGUCGUGAGACAGUUCGGUCCCUAUCUGCCGUGGGCGCUGGAGAACUGAGGGGGGCUGCUCCUAGUACGAGAGGACCGGAGUGGACGCAUCACUGGUGUUCGGGUUGUCAUGCCAAUGGCACUGCCCGGUAGCUAAAUGCGGAAGAGAUAAGUGCUGAAAGCAUCUAAGCACGAAACUUGCC
This 1983-nucleotide ribosomal RNA is filed under the name Escherichia coli. RNAcentral describes it as "partial 23S ribosomal RNA". It matches the Rfam family "Bacterial large subunit ribosomal RNA", at positions 833 to 2798 of the family's 2925-position model. Lineage: Bacteria; Pseudomonadati; Pseudomonadota; Gammaproteobacteria; Enterobacterales; Enterobacteriaceae. The record is from RNAcentral.